Molecule: ribosomal RNA, 497 nt
Filed under: uncultured bacterium
Lineage: Bacteria
Description: partial 16S ribosomal RNA
Rfam family: Bacterial small subunit ribosomal RNA
Source: RNAcentral
GAUGAACGCUGGCGGCGUGCCUAAUACAUGCAAGUCGAGCGAACAGACGAGGAGCUUGCUCCUCUGACGUUAGCGGCGGACGGGUGAGUAACACGUGGAUAACCUACCUAUAAGUCUGGGAUAAUUUCGGGAAACCGGAGCUAAUACCGGAUAAUAUAUUGAACCGCAUGGUUCAAUAGUGAAAGACGGUUUUGCUGUCACUUAUAGAUGGAUCCGCGCCGCAUUAGCUAGUUGUUAAGGUAACGGCUUACCAAGGCAACGAUGCGUUGCCGACCUGUGAGGGUGAUCGGCCACACUGGAGCUGAGACACGGUCCAGACGCCUACGGGAGGCAGCAGUAGGGAAUCUUCCGCAAUGGGCGAAAGCCUGACGGAGCAACGCCGCGUGAGUGAUGAAGGUCUUCGGAUCGUAAAACUCUGUUAUUAGGGAAGAACAAAUGUGUAAGUAACUAUGCACGUCUUGACGGUACCUAAUCAGAAAGCCACGGCUAACUACGUG